CGAGGCAUCUCAAACAUUUUUCCAAUUUCUUGCGAAAGAAAGACAAAUGGUAGUGGAGCUCUUCGUCUCGUUUUCCCUUCUGUUUCUUUCACUUUUCUUUAUCUUCUCCAUAACCAAAUCCUCCAAAUCCAAGACACCCAUCUCAACCCAUCUUUCAAAAUCAUAUCCUUUGAUAGGUAACUAUCUCGAUAUAAGGGCAAACUGGAACCAUCGAGUCCAAUGGACAUCUGAUCUUCUCCUGAACUCGCCCUCUGCAACCUACGUCCUGCAUCGACCUCUGGGUGCCCGUGCCAUUUUAACUGCAAACCCAGCCAACGUCCAACACGUUCUCAAGACUCACUUUCACCUCUACCAGAAAGGUGAACUCUUUCGAAGCACUCUCUUUGAUUUUCUUGGCAAUGGAAUCUUUAACGCCGAUGGUAACACCUGGAAGUUUCAAAGGCAAGUUGCCAGCCACGAAUUCAAUACUAAAUCUUUGCGUAAAUUUGUUGAGACCGUCGUGGAUACUGAACUCUACGAACGCCUAAUCCCAAUUCUUUCUUCUGCCGCCGCUAAUGGAACGGUU
Molecule: unclassified non-coding RNA, 565 nt
Filed under: Hevea brasiliensis (rubber tree)
Lineage: Eukaryota; Viridiplantae; Streptophyta; Magnoliopsida; Malpighiales; Euphorbiaceae
Source: RNAcentral